RNAcentral lists this ribosomal RNA (1441 nucleotides) under uncultured organism. RNAcentral describes it as "16S ribosomal RNA". It matches the Rfam family "Bacterial small subunit ribosomal RNA". The record is from RNAcentral.
CAGGCUUAACACAUGCAAGUCGAGGGGCAGCAUGGUCUUAGCUUGCUAAGGCCGAUGGCGACCGGCGCACGGGUGAGUAACACGUAUCCAACCUGCCGUCUACUCUUGGACAGCCUUCUGAAAGGAAGAUUAAUACAAGAUGGCAUCAUGAGUCCGCAUGUUCACAUGAUUAAAGGUAUUCCGGUAGACGAUGGGGAUGCGUUCCAUUAGAUAGUAGGCGGGGUAACGGCCCACCUAGUCUUCGAUGGAUAGGGGUUCUGAGAGGAAGGUCCCCCACAUUGGAACUGAGACACGGUCCAAACUCCUACGGGAGGCAGCAGUGAGGAAUAUUGGUCAAUGGGCGAGAGCCUGAACCAGCCAAGUAGCGUGAAGGAUGACUGCCCUAUGGGUUGUAAACUUCUUUUAUAAAGGAAUAAAGUCGGGUAUGGAUACCCGUUUGCAUGUACUUUAUGAAUAAGGAUCGGCUAACUCCGUGCCAGCAGCCGCGGUAAUACGGAGGAUCCGAGCGUUAUCCGGAUUUAUUGGGUUUAAAGGGAGCGUAGAUGGAUGUUUAAGUCAGUUGUGAAAGUUUGCGGCUCAACCGUAAAAUUGCAGUUGAUACUGGAUAUCUUGAGUGCAGUUGAGGCAGGCGGAAUUCGUGGUGUAGCGGUGAAAUGCUUAGAUAUCACGAAGAACUCCGAUUACGAAGGCAGCCUGCUAAGCUGCAACUGACAUUGAGGCUCGAAAGUGUGGGUAUCAAACAGGAUUAGAUACCCUGGUAGUCCACACGGUAAACGAUGAAUACUCGCUGUUUGCGAUAUACAGCAAGCGGCCAAGCGAAAGCGUUAAGUAUUCCACCUGGGGAGUACGCCGGCAACGGUGAAACUCAAAGGAAUUGACGGGGGCCCGCACAAGCGGAGGAACAUGUGGUUUAAUUCGAUGAUACGCGAGGAACCUUACCCGGGCUUAAAUUGCAGAUGAAUUACGGUGAAAGCCGUAAGCCGCAAGGCAUCUGUGAAGGUGCUGCAUGGUUGUCGUCAGCUCGUGCCGUGAGGUGUCGGCUUAAGUGCCAUAACGAGCGCAACCCUUGUUGUCAGUUACUAACAGGUUCCGCUGAGGACUCUGACAAGACUGCCAUCGUAAGAUGUGAGGAAGGUGGGGAUGACGUCAAAUCAGCACGGCCCUUACGUCCGGGGCUACACACGUGUUACAAUGGGGGGUACAGAGGGCCGCUACCACGCGAGUGGAUGCCAAUCCCCAAAACCUCUCUCAGUUCGGACUGGAGUCUGCAACCCGACUCCACGAAGCUGGAUUCGCUAGUAAUCGCGCAUCAGCCACGGCGCGGUGAAUACGUUCCCGGGCCUUGUACACACCGCCCGUCAAGCCAUGGGAGCCGGGGGUACCUGAAGUGCGUAACCGCGAGGAGCGCCCUAGGGUAAAACUGGUGACUGGGGCUAAGUCG